Long non-coding RNA from Astatotilapia calliptera (eastern happy), 1215 nucleotides. The record is from Ensembl. NCBI's taxonomy places the organism in Eukaryota, Metazoa, Chordata, Actinopteri, Cichliformes, Cichlidae.
UGUUAUCCUUCUAUCACAAAUCACCACCGACAAUCAUCUCCUCCCACUCAACCCCACCUGUACUCUUCUUCACUGCGUGUUGUUUUGGAUGGCUGACCACAGGUAUUUAAAAUCAUAAACCUUCACCCUCUCUACUCCUUGCAUCUUUACUUUUCUACCUGUUGCCCUCUCCUUCACACACAUGUAUUCUGUCUUUGUUUCUACUGACUUCUCUCUUGAGCAUAACUUCACCUCUCCAGGCUCGCUACAGAAACGUUAAGCCCAAAAUCCACCACUUUAAACUUUAAUACAAGCACUUAAGAGACUUUCAUUUCACUUGAAUAGGGACUUCAACACUGUACCCUUGGGUUAACGGUUUGAUACUCUACCAUCUAAGCUAUCCAGGGUCUGUAGCAGUUGCCUCUACCUUGUUCAUCCUGGUGUUUCAAACCUAAACCAAAGAUCAUAGGCUAAUUCAAGCAGGGGGAGGAUAUUUGUAAAAAUAAAUCAAUAAAUAAAAUACAAAAAAGGAGAUUUGUUUUUAUUAAAUUUUGUUAAGUGGCACAGUCCAUCAGUAGUGAGUCCUUAGUGAAAGUCUUAAAAAUGAAAAUAAAAGUUAAAUAAAAAUAACUAAAUACAGAAUAAAUGCUAUGUUUGUAUAAAAACUCCAACAUAAUUAUUUGUGAAAAGGCUACAUUAAGCUUCCGAUAAAAAAAAAAAACAACAUUUAUAUGAUGGCAAACUAUUUCACGAAGUAACAAUAAAACUGUUGGUACUUAAUAGAGGGUUCAAGUUAGUGGGUCAAACUCACCACCACUGCGCAUGCUCAGAUUUCGACGCCACCUGAGCAUCAAUUAGCAGGUUGACGGAGACUUUUAGUAAGUCAGUUUCUAUGGAACUCCAAAGUGUUCAAAAUUAAAUAAAUAAAUAGGUCAAGAUGAAAUAAAUAACUAUGUGAAUAAAUAAGACACAGAUAUGUAAUGUGAGAAUGAUAUUGUGAAAUAAUGGAACACAUUUUGAAAACAAUGCUCAUUAUUGUGAAACAUAUUACAUUCUCGAGCCAGAACAAAAAGGAUUUUCGUUAAUAUUUACAAUUUGUUCAUGGAGUUGACUGUUGUAAAUACCCUAGAGUGUAACUUAAGAGUGCAGUUAGCCCUCCGCGCCACCAGAGACCGCUAGUGAAGUUCGUUUUUUCUUAACUAGAAACGUAAAAACAUUAACUCUUUCUGCUAAAUU